UAGGGAAUCUUCCGCAAUGGACGAAAGUCUGACGGAGCAACGCCGCGUGAACGAUGAAGGCCUUCGGGUCGUAAAGUUCUGUUGUUAGGGAAGAACAAGUACCGUUCGAAUAGGUCGGUACCUUGACGGUACCUAACGAGAAAGCCACGGCUAACUACGUGCCAGCAGCCGCGGUAAUACGUAGGUGGCAAGCGUUGUCCGGAAUUAUUGGGCGUAAAGCGCGCGCAGGCGGUCUCUUAAGUCUGAUGUGAAAGCCCACGGCUCAACCGUGGAGGGUCAUUGGAAACUGGGAGACUUGAGUGCAGAAGAGGAGAGUGGAAUUCCAUGUGUAGCGGUGAAAUGCGUAGAUAUAUGGAGGAACACCAGUGGCGAAGGCGACUCUCUGGUCUGUAACUGACGCUGAGGCGCGAAAGCGUGGGGAGCAAACAGGAUUAGAUACCCUGGUAGUCCACGCCGUAAACGAUGAGUGCUAGGUGUUAGGGGUUUCGAUGCCCUUAGUGCCGAAGUUAACACAUUAAGCACUCCGCCU
Molecule: ribosomal RNA, 529 nt
Filed under: uncultured bacterium
Lineage: Bacteria
Description: partial 16S ribosomal RNA
Rfam family: Bacterial small subunit ribosomal RNA
Source: RNAcentral